ACCCCUCUGCAAGGCGGCCUCCUACGAUGAGUUUUAUAGCAACCGCAACCUGGAUGCUGUGGCCAAGGCUGUGCCCUCGGGGACGACGCUGGAGGGCACCAACGUGGCCAUCGCUGUCUUCCUGCCCGUGCUGGUGGUGGCCCUGCUCAUCGGGGGCAUUUAUCUCUACUUCUCCAAGCUCCAGGGGAAGCCAGCCCUGCAGCUGCCCCUGGCUGGCUCCCACCCCUACGACCACAUCACAGUGGAGUCGGCUUUUGACAAUCCCACCUAUGAGACAGGAUCUGUUUUCUUUGCAGGACACGAGGGAAUAUGAGGUGUCCAUCUAGGUGUGGGCAGCGUGGAGCAGGGCGCUGCAGCCACCCCUCCCCUCCGUGCCCGCCGGCCCCGNCG
This is a non-coding RNA of Zonotrichia albicollis (white-throated sparrow), 390 nucleotides long. The record is from RefSeq and is a predicted model, not a curated record. NCBI's taxonomy places the organism in Eukaryota, Metazoa, Chordata, Aves, Passeriformes, Passerellidae.